Molecule: long non-coding RNA, 385 nt
Filed under: Gossypium raimondii (Peruvian cotton)
Lineage: Eukaryota; Viridiplantae; Streptophyta; Magnoliopsida; Malvales; Malvaceae
Description: long non-coding RNA (GRAI_LNC008069)
Source: RNAcentral
GUAGGGUAGGGACCUGGGCUUGUGGUGUCCCAAAUGGUUGGGCAAAGCGAACUUUCAGUCGUCCAAUCCAAUAUCAGUCCUUUCAGGGUCUUCAGUCUUCGUCUUCUUCGAUCUCUCUCUCCCUCUCUCUCUCUCUUAGCCUGGCCUGGCCUGGCCUGCUCUGCUCGACUCUGUCUCUUCUGCACCGUCCUUCAAGGACUGCCACAAGUAAAAAACGAAGAAUGAAAUCCUAAAGGACAAAAGCAACUUCUUAACUGCACGUGUGACCUGUCACGUGUCAUUAUCAUCCCUCUGGUUCUAGUUUUUUUUUCUUUUCACACUGAUUAUUUCUUUACAUUUUUACUCACUUUUUUUCUUUGUUGAGUAAUGAACCUUUCUUUUUGGC